This 317-nucleotide ribosomal RNA is filed under the name Sidymella sp. CG211. RNAcentral's name for it is "partial 12S ribosomal RNA". Lineage: Eukaryota; Metazoa; Arthropoda; Arachnida; Araneae; Thomisidae. The record is from RNAcentral.
AGGUAGUAUUAAUAUUUUAAUAAACCUAUUUAUAACGACGGCAUUUCAUCUUAUUAGAGGAAUCUGUUUAUUAAUCGAUAAUCCACGAUAAAUUUUACUUUAAAUUAAAACUUAUAUACCGCCAUCUAUAAGAAUUAAGUUUAUUAACUUAUUCUUAAUAAAAAUUAAAAAGUUAGGUCAAGGUGUAGUUAAUAUUAAAGAUUAAAUGGAUUACACUAAAUAAAUUUUAGGAUUAAUUUUUCUUAAAAAAUUAUAAAAAAGGAUUUAAAAGUAACAAUUACAAUAAUAUUUAAUUGUAAAUUAGAUAAUAAAUGUGU